GGGGCUGUGGCUCAGUCAGUAGAGUGCUUGCCUAACAUGUAUGAGGCACUGGGUUCGAUCCUCAGCACUCCA
RNAcentral lists this transfer RNA (72 nucleotides) under Ictidomys tridecemlineatus (thirteen-lined ground squirrel). RNAcentral's name for it is "Spermophilus tridecemlineatus (thirteen-lined ground squirrel) tRNA". It matches the Rfam family "tRNA". From Rfam's summary of the family: Transfer RNA (tRNA) molecules are approximately 80 nucleotides in length. Their secondary structure includes four short double-helical elements and three loops (D, anti-codon, and T loops). The record is from Rfam by way of RNAcentral. Lineage: Eukaryota; Metazoa; Chordata; Mammalia; Rodentia; Sciuridae.